CUUAUUGAAGGCAUGGAAGAUCAAUCAAAGUGUAUUAAUUGAAACAAUCGUUAAUACUGAUUCUUCCUUCAACAAUUUUUAUCCUUUUCUUCCUUCCGUCCAUUCAUUUAAUGUAUAUUACAAACUAAUCCAUCAUCUUUCAAUGUUAUACAGAUGAAUAUUAUACUGAGCAUCAACUAAUGUCAAUCUAAUCAGCAACUUCAACGCAAUGAAAGUGUAAAUCAAAGUUAAUAAUGAAGGCAACCAAAUUUGAUGAUCAGUGAAAUUUCAAUCGAUAAUCCUUGACCCAAAGUGUAAAGGCCAGUGAUUAGUUGUUACGAUGAUAAUGAUAAUGAAUAACCCGAACGAUGAUCUGGAAAAGGCCAUUUACCUGUUUGAUGUUGCGGUUUUAUCGCCUGGUUAAAUCCAAAAUAAGAACUGUUCAUCGCCCGUUUAAACAGUUAAACAGGCUCAAGUUGUCAAUACAAAAAAAAUGGAAAGUUGAAUCAAUGCUAAAAUAAAUUUGGAUAAAUCAACUAAUAGUUAAGCUGGUUAACUGAUAAUGCUUAUCCGUUGGUUUGAGGUUCAGAUUUGGGUUAGAGUUUCCGUCGAUUAAAGAAACUUGGACCAUUGAUCUUUUUUCAUCACCAUCUUGAUCAUCGCCUACAUCAUCAUGAUAUUUAUCAUAAUCAUCAUCAUCAUCUUAUCUUCUUUCAAGGAAUUGAUAUCCACUUGAUACAAAACAAGCAAUAUAAUUAACAGCUCCAGACAAAACAAGUUUGUUAGCUUGAAAAUGAAUGUGAAUCAAACUAUGGAACGGAUCCUGAGGCAAUUCAACAGUUUAACUAUUGAUCAAUAAUAAUUUUGUUGGUGAUCAGUUAUUUACAAUUUAAAAAAUGUUGAAAGCUUCAAGUUAUUUGUUAUAAUAUCUGUAAAAACAGACUGAAAAGGCCACUUGAACAUAUUUUAACUAUUGAUCAAUAACUGUUGACCUUGUUCAGCUUAUAAAUCACCAAAUUGGCAGUUUAGUUGAGACUUUUAUUGACCCAAGUUUGGUGAUUGUUACGGUCUAUUAAUUGGUUGUAAUCAAGGAAACAAAGGCUUUAAUCAACAGGAAACAAUAAAGGUUGUUGCUAUUUAAUCAUAAUUGUCAUUAAAUUUUGGAUCAAAGAAAAGCUUAAUCAUCAACAAAAUCAAAGGAACCACAAAAAUACAUUUGCUUUUAAUAGAGACACAAAUUAAGAAUCCAAAAAAGAGUCCAAAACCAAAAAGCUUAACACAACAAGUAAUUCCAAUUCAGAUCUCCAGCUGUUAUCAAUUAUUUGGACUAUUUUGAUUGGAUUCUUGAUUCGUUUAAAUAUUUAAGCAAAUUAUGGUUAAUGCUGUGGUGUUGAUGGAGCCAAACAUUACCAGUUAUCGAGUUUAUUACAACCAGAGCGACCAAACACACUCGGACUUAACCACUUGUUCAAGCCCUUGGUUUCAUAUAUUGGAAGCAAAUUUUUGAUCGACAUCAAACCUGCUAAUCAUCUUGAACAAUCAACAAUUUACAAUACAAUGGAAAGUCCAAAUAUUCAUUGAUUCAGUAACCAGUAACAAUUGGAAUCAGCCUUGAAAAUGAACGUUUCAACAAAAAGUCUAAAAAAGGAAAGUAAAAUUCCAGGAGAAAAAAAAUCAUCCCAUGGUCAACACAAAUAGAAACCGAAGUACAAUUGAUCCUAAUUUUCUGGAAAAUCAACAGUAAUUUGAUGGUUACAAUCAUUACAACCACACUCGAUUGCACUGAAAACUUGCCAUGUUGAAAUUGUAACAGAAUCUUGAUAAUUUCCAUAAUCAGAUUAGAUUGAAAGGAUACUUUUGCGUACAAAAGCAGAGCAAUUACAUAAUUUUGUAAAUUCAGUGGCACAGAUUGAUCAAUGAUUAACAAUCACUUUUACCAAGAUAAAUCAUUUUCCAAUAUUCUGUAUAAAUCAAAUUAACGAUGAAUAAUUUCACUGAUUCAUUACUUUUAUCAAUUGUCCACAGUUAAGUUCAAAUGUAGUUCAACAUACCAAAUGCUUUAUAUUAUUUAAUAGUCAUUAAUCACAAAUUACUAUUAAAUAAUAACCAACCUUGGUAAUUCAUCCUUUAAUUGAGAUGUUGUACAAUCAAUGAAACCAAUAGAUGUAAACAAAAUUCAAACCUCAAUCAACUUAAAUGAUUAUCAAAUAAAAACAAGUAAAGUUGA
Long non-coding RNA from Tetranychus urticae (two-spotted spider mite), 2206 nucleotides. RefSeq lists it as uncharacterized. The record is from RefSeq and is a predicted model, not a curated record. NCBI's taxonomy places the organism in Eukaryota, Metazoa, Arthropoda, Arachnida, Trombidiformes, Tetranychidae.